RNAcentral lists this ribosomal RNA (497 nucleotides) under uncultured bacterium. RNAcentral describes it as "partial 16S ribosomal RNA". It matches the Rfam family "Bacterial small subunit ribosomal RNA", at positions 28 to 507 of the family's 1533-position model. The record is from RNAcentral.
GAUGAACGCUGGCGGCGUGCCUAAUACAUGCAAGUCGAGCGAACGGACGAGAAGCUUGCUUUUCUGAUGUUAGCGGCGGACGGGUGAGUAACACGUGGAUAACCUACCUAUAAGACUGGGAUAACUUCGGGAAACCGGAGCUAAUACCGGAUAAUAUUUUGAACCGCAUGGUUCAAAAGUGAAAGACGGUCUUGCUGUCACUUAUAGAUGGAUCCGCGCUGCAUUAGCUAGUUGGUAAGGUAACGGCUUACCAAGGCAACGAUGCAUAGCCGACCUGAGAGGGUGAUCGGCCACACUGGAACUGAGACACGGUCCAGACUCCUACGGGAGGCAGCAGUAGGGAAUCUUCCGCAAUGGGCGAAAGCCUGACGGAGCAACGCUGCGUGAGUGAUGAAGGUCUUCGGAUCGUAAAACUCUGUUAUUAGGGAAGAACAUAUGUGUAAGUAACUGUGCACAUCUUGACAGUACCUAAUCAGAAAGCCACGGCUAACUACGUG